Molecule: long non-coding RNA, 1404 nt
Filed under: Marmota monax (woodchuck)
Lineage: Eukaryota; Metazoa; Chordata; Mammalia; Rodentia; Sciuridae
Source: RNAcentral
AAGUAAGUUCUAUAAUAUCUAUAUAUCAUUAUUUUAAAAUUAAUUCACAUUCAGUUACACAAAUCUUUUGAAUUUGAAGGUAAAUUAAGACAUUAUGUUCUUCCUUUUUUUUCUUAUCUCAUUAGACAUUCUUCUUAGAUGCUUUUUCUCAGUCUGAUUUUUUUUCUGAGAACAAUGCAGCUUACUUGCCCCAGCACCUGCAGGAGAGGCCCUGCCGGGUGUCCCAGAGUUGUGAGCUAAUUCUCAUUCAGAUGCACUGAACCACAAAUGGCAUUUCCCCUAGGAGAACCCCAUGCAACCAGCAGAGAACCUCCUUGAAUAGAUAAGGGCAGUACACCCCAAAAAGGGAUUUAUAGAGGAGUAUCCCACUGACACCAACCACUUCCCAGUGUGGCCAGAUAAAACCCCACCAACCUGAGACCCUCACAUGGGCCAUACAGCCAUGUCAUCCUGACUAUAGUACCUCCACCUUACACCACUGCACCCUGCAUGCUCCAGAGUACAUAAGGUGGAACCCAUAUUGGAUCUGAGAGGGCUGGUCAAAGAGAUUUUCUUCAGGAGGAUUCACAAAACUGUGGAAAACUUCCUCCCCAGGGAAUCCUGGAGUAUUGAGGAGGCUCUUACUUAUCCCUAAUGGGGGUAACUGACAAAAUCUGACAAUUCAGGACGGUCUACUCUGACCCAUCAGAAAGCUAGUAAGUACCUCAACACAUGAAAGAUUAGAGGAGCCUCCUAGAGUUGUAUCUGAGGUGAGCUGGUCUGAUCACUACCUCCACACCAGGGAAAAAAUAGAGGCAAAGACAAGGAGUACUCGGCAUCUUUAAAACAUUCCAAACCCUGAUAGAGUCCAAAUCAGGAAGAUCCAAGAACACUCCCCACUUUGGCAUGGAAUAUCAUAAAUACUUCUAAUGUCAAUUUUUAUCUUACUGAUAUUGCAUUUCAUAUUGAAUGGGCAUGUUCUGUUUAUUUGGCAUUGCAGCCUUCACCUCAAUUGAUAGUAUUUCCUGUUUUAAAGCAUUAACUAGAAGCAUUAUAUCUUUGCUUUCCUAAUGUAUAUUUAUACUUGCUCCUCUUAAUUUCAUGUUUGCUUCUUGUAUUACCUACUCCUGCCUCAAAUAACCUCACAUUGAUUCACCUUUUUUACCUUAGUUUGUGUUAUUUUAUCUUUUCUUCUUUUCCAUUUUUUUCUCUUCUCCCCUUUGUAGCCCCUAUAGAAUAUAAUAGCAAUUUUACUAUCUUUAAGAACUACUUUCUCAACCUACUGAAGAACACUCAUAUGGACUGGAAAAAAAUAUUUGUCAGUGCCUCUCCAACAGAAGAGAUUAAUAUCCAUAGUGUAUUAAAAACUCAAAAAGCUUCACACCAAAAAGAUAAAGAAUGAAUAACCCAAACAAUAAAUGUGCA